Cicer arietinum (chickpea) is the source of this 403-nucleotide non-coding RNA. NCBI's taxonomy places the organism in Eukaryota, Viridiplantae, Streptophyta, Magnoliopsida, Fabales, Fabaceae. The record is from RefSeq and is a predicted model, not a curated record.
ACGAGAUGGGCUAUAAAUAACCUACAACCCAUUCCCUCUUCUCAUCAUCACAUACUCUACUAACUUUCCCUCACAAGUCCAUAUACAUACAUUAGGUGCUGUGUUACUACUAGCUAGCGAGGUGCAAUGGGUAAGGAAAAGGCUCAGGUGAAUAUUGUUGUGGUUGGUCAUGUGGAUUCUGAGAAGCCAAAUACUGAAGAACCCAUAAACAUGCCAAUUGUUGUGGAGAUCCAAGCUGAUGAGAUGAUAUAAUUAAGAGGUCGUUAAUGACCUCAAUGUGUUAAAAGGGAACCAGAAAAUUAGUAAUUAACAAUGCUGUAAAAAUAAAUCUGGUACCCCUACUCAAACUUAUGGUUAUGUUUAUUUUGCUUUCACUGAAAUAAAAUGCAUGCCUCUUAAUUUA